AAUUCUCAACCCCUCUCGAUUAGCUUCGAGCGGGGCUUGGAUAGUGGGGGCUGCCGGAGACCUGAAAUCAUUUUUUCAGGACUCGGGCUCCCCUGAAAUGCAUCGGCUUGCGGUCGACUUUCGACUUUGCGCGACAAGGCUUUCGGCGUGAUAAUGAUCGCCGUUCGCCGAAGCGCACGAAUGAACCGUCCCGCGCCUCUAAUCAGUCGACGCCUUUCGGGGCGUCUUCCUUAUAGAC
Molecule: unclassified non-coding RNA, 238 nt
Filed under: uncultured Suillus
Lineage: Eukaryota; Fungi; Basidiomycota; Agaricomycetes; Boletales; Suillaceae
Description: sequence contains ITS2
Source: RNAcentral